UACGUAGGGGGCAAGCGUUGUCCGGAUUUAUUGGGCGUAAAGAGCGUGUAGGCGGCCAGACAGGUCCGUUGUGAAAACUCGAGGCUCAACCUCGAGAUGUCGAUGGAAACCGUCUGGCUAGAGUCCGGAAGAGGAGUGUGGAAUUCCUGGUGUAGCGGUGGAAUGCGCAGAUAUCAGGAGGAACACCAAUAGCGAAGGCAGCUCGCUGGGACGGUACUGACGCUAAGGCGCGAAAGCGUGGGGAGCAAACAGG
Molecule: ribosomal RNA, 253 nt
Filed under: uncultured bacterium
Lineage: Bacteria
Description: partial 16S ribosomal RNA
Rfam family: Bacterial small subunit ribosomal RNA
Source: RNAcentral